Molecule: unclassified non-coding RNA, 545 nt
Filed under: Hevea brasiliensis (rubber tree)
Lineage: Eukaryota; Viridiplantae; Streptophyta; Magnoliopsida; Malpighiales; Euphorbiaceae
Source: RNAcentral
AUAUAUAUAUAUAUAUAUGUAUACACUUUAAACAUAAUCUCCAAUUCACUCUAAGUCCAUUAAUACAAUCAAACUCAUUCCUUCCUAGGGCUGCCGAAAAUUCAUGUACACAUACACAUGAGUUUGGUUCAUUUAUUUCACAAUUUCUUACCUAUUACACAUCUCUAACAUGGAAUUAAUGAGUUUUAACUACAUAUGUGCACUAACCUUUAAGUGGCAGAAUUUCUCCAAGCUUAACUUCACUUUCCUUGUACUCUCUUGGCUGCCAAACACUUCCUCUAGGUCCAAGGAUUCAUUUUAGUGUUGGGGUCUUGAGGAAAUAUGGUGAGGAAGCAUGAGAAAUGAAGCUUUUGUUUGAAAAUCAAUGGAGGGAGAAGAGGGAGAGAUUCACGUCUUGAGGAAGAAGAAGAAGAAGAGCAGCUGGUUUUUAAUUCCUUUAGCCCAUUUUUAGUCUCUUUUAUUGGUUAACUAAUUGGUUAUUUUAUUGUGAUUGGAGGAAAUUUUUAAAUGACAUCAUAAUUUGUCAUAAUUUGCUUUUUAUUUCA